This 468-nucleotide ribosomal RNA is filed under the name uncultured bacterium. RNAcentral's name for it is "partial 16S ribosomal RNA". It matches the Rfam family "Bacterial small subunit ribosomal RNA", at positions 28 to 507 of the family's 1533-position model. The record is from RNAcentral.
GACGAACGCUGGCGGCGUGCUUAACACAUGCAAGUCGAACGGAAAGGCCAUGCUUUUGUGGGUUGCUCGAGUGGCGAACGGGUGAGUAACACGUGAGUAACCUGCCCUUGACUUUGGGAUAACUUCAGGAAAAUGGGGCUAAUACCGGAUAUGAGCUCCUGCUGCAUGGUGGUGAUUGGAGAGAUUCGGCGGUUGGGGAUGGACUGGAGGCUUAUCAGCUGGUUGGUGGGGUAGGGGCGUACCAAGGCUUUGAAGGGUAGCCGACAUGGGAGGUGGACCGGCGUCCAUGGUCCUACGAUAGGGACCAGUCGGCUAUCGGCGGCAAUAGUGGAGAAUAUUGCACAGUGGGCGCAAGUCAGAGACGACAACGUUGCGUGCGUGAUGACCGCCUACGGGUUGUAAACAGCUGUCUACUGUGACAAAGAGGUAUUGACGGUAACUAGUCAAGAAGCACCGGCUAACUACGUG